AACCCAUAGUGAGGGCACCCUCUCAGUAAGUCCUUCUAUCUCUCCCAUGCAUCGUAAAAUGUUUCUAAAUCCAUCUAUACAAAAGAAGAGAUCUCAUUACGUAAUUU
This is a non-coding RNA of Gossypium arboreum, 107 nucleotides long. The record is from Rfam. Lineage: Eukaryota; Viridiplantae; Streptophyta; Magnoliopsida; Malvales; Malvaceae.